GUACUACUGAAGAGUCCCAACCUGGAACGAAACAACUGUCUAGUAC
Molecule: non-coding RNA, 46 nt
Organism: Trichobilharzia regenti
Lineage: Eukaryota; Metazoa; Platyhelminthes; Trematoda; Strigeidida; Schistosomatidae
Source: Rfam